Molecule: ribosomal RNA, 253 nt
Filed under: uncultured bacterium
Lineage: Bacteria
Description: partial 16S ribosomal RNA
Rfam family: Bacterial small subunit ribosomal RNA
Source: RNAcentral
UACGAAGGGGGCGAGCGUUGCUCGGAAUGACUGGGCGUAAAGGGCGCGUAGGCGGACCUCGAAGUCGGGCGUGAAAUCCCCGGGCUCAACCCGGGACGUGCGCUCGAGACGCGUGGUCUGGAGUGGGGGAGAGGGAAGCGGAAUUCCCAGUGUAGAGGUGAAAUUCGUAGAUAUUGGGAAGAACACCGGUGGCGAAGGCGGCUACCUGGCCCUCGACUGACGCUGAGGCGCGACAGCGUGGGGAGCAAACAGG